This 2201-nucleotide long non-coding RNA is filed under the name Helianthus annuus (common sunflower). RNAcentral's name for it is "hypothetical non coding rna". The record is from RNAcentral. Lineage: Eukaryota; Viridiplantae; Streptophyta; Magnoliopsida; Asterales; Asteraceae.
UUCACCAUUGGAGGCUAGGAGACAUCAAGGGACAAGGAAUACUCAUUCACAAAGUGUUCUAACAUCAAGAUUGCUCCAAUUGCUACCGAAAUCGCAACAUUUCUUCAUCAAGUAUGAUCAUGUGUGGUUAAAACCCUUGUGAUCACAACCAAGGGCUAGGGUUUGUAUGCUAUUUAGUUCAAUUUGAGUUGUUUAUCUAUGUUGGACAUGAAUUCAUGGUGUUUGUUAGAGAUCUAUGACAUUUGAUAUAUGAUUGAAGGUUAUGUUAACAUGUUUAUAUUUGAUGGUGAUCAUUUUGUGAUAGCCUAAUUACAUCGGUGUUCAAUCGUUGUAAGCUUAGAUACACAAGUAUAGGUCUUUCAAUACUCAAUUCACAUAUGAUGUCACAAGAUUAUGUCUAUAUAAUCUACCAAACCAGAUUCACAAACUUAAAUUACUAAUUGUGCUUUCAAACUUGAUACUUGGUUGUGCUCAUUGUUACUUUAUUGAACUUACAACUGUAGUUAAUUCUAGUUUCUCAAAUCAAAAUACAAAUCCAAUUUUAAGUUUUUACCAUGUUUUGCAAUCGAUUGAGAUCUUACACCAACCACUAGCUCUUCGUGGUUCGACACCCUAUUUGCCACUACUAAUUUAGGGUACUUAGGAGCAUAUAAUCUUUUUAUCUUUGAUCGGUACUUCGACAUCGAUCAAUUGUGAUUCUUGUUUUAGUGUAAUCUGAAUUCCAAGAGGUAAAUUCUGAAAUAUAGAAGUUAAAACAUGUGUAAAUAUGCCUAAUUGAAGUUGGUUUAGAUGAAAAUUACAAGUCAUGAACUUGGUUAUGAUUAUGUAAAAAUCUGACCCGCUAGGUAUUUGAUAAAACGCCUAAGUGAGGAUUAAAAUGUAAAAAGUUGGGUGAAAACGCAUAUUCGAUUAUUAUAGAGAAUUGUGCAUUAGGGCGUAUGAAAGAGUUCUAAAUUUAUUUUGAAUUGAACUCUUUAGGCAAGGAAUCCGGAUCGUCAAGCGGACACGCCGGAGCGGAUACGCGUUUGAAAGGUGUGCACUAAAGGUACGCGACUUAUAGUUUCGCUACAUUAUGUUUAAUUGUUGGUUUUACGUUGUUAUAUUGAAAUUUGGUAAAUAAGAAAAACCAUUAAGUCACGGAAGUGACAAAGUGCAUUAGACAAGUAAAACGGGUCAAAACAUGAGUUAGAAAUAGAGUUUAGAUGUGUUUAGCAAUGGGGAUACCCAUUCGGCACCCAAACGGGUCAAAACAAGUUGUGUUACAAACAUAGAAACUAAUAGCCAUCACUUUUGACUGGUUAUGUAUCAAGCGUAAGUCGUGUAACGGACACGCAAAUGCGUUUCAAGAUCAUGAGCCCUUGUAGAGGGAUUAUAGUUCGGAACAUUCACUUGUCGAAUGAUUCCGAAAGGCAUGAUUAAAUCCUUGAAAAUAAGCAUGAUGGUUAUUACACAAGCAACCCUCGGGAGGGGAGCAAAAGCUCAUACUUGGUAAAUGUAGAAACGGGUGCAUUGGCCUAAAGUUUAUGUGAUAGUAAUACAUGUUAUGGAACUUGUAAACAAAUGGGUCAAAUAAAUUAGAGACAAAUUAUAAAACAACUGUUUUUGAAAUAAUAUUUUUAUGCAAAACGUGUUGAUAAACGCGUCCGUGAUUAAAUUACGGUCAUGUAGGAAAAAGAAUCGGUUAAAUCGGACUUACGGAUCCAAAGUUAUGACCAUUUGAAGUUGAAUAUAGUGAAAAUCCGGAGCUGGCAGAAAAUGCAGGUCCAGAAACUGGACCUGCUGGAAAACAUGUUCCCCCGCGCCACGCGACAAGGGUAAGUAAAUCUGGCGCGACACGUGGGGCCACCCGCGCCACGCGAGGACCCUUCGCGACACGCGACAGGGUGAAAAGUUGAAUUUUAUUUUAUUUUUGAUGGUUCAAUACUAGAACUCGUUUAUAAGCAUUGUAUAUAUGCCAUAUCUAACUUUUUAAGUGGUUUUGACUCUAGGUACUAAUGGGGUCCUUCCGGAUGGUGAUCAAGCAUGUUACAUGAACCGAACACAAAUUUUAGAUGCUUCCGCGUUAACAUAAUCUUGACUAGACAAUGUUUUGAUGUAAAUGAAUUGUAAUCAAUGUUUUAAACUAGUCGGUAGUUGACUAGUAGAUGUUAUUUAAAACUUUGCAUUUGUACUUAUCAUGAAUAUAUAAUAUGAAAAUUUUU